Non-coding RNA from Xylaria sp. FL0064, 90 nucleotides. Lineage: Eukaryota; Fungi; Ascomycota; Sordariomycetes; Xylariales; Xylariaceae. The record is from the annotation of a GenBank genome assembly.
GGCCUCGUGGCCUAAUGGCUAGGGCGCUAGAUUUCGGUGGUCAAUCAUUGAAACCUCUAGAGAUUGUCGGUUCGAGUCCGGCCGAGGUCG